UGCUAUGAUUCUAGCAGGUAUUGCAGUUGCUAUCGCUGGACAAGUUGCAUUUGUAGGUUUGAUGGUACCUCAUAUAGCAAGAUUUUUAAUUGGAACUGAUUAUGCUAAAAUUCUACCAUUAACAGCCUUGUUAGGUGGGAUACUCGUGCUUGUUGCCGAUGUGAUAGCACGAUAUUUAGGAGAAGCGCCUGUUGGUGCAAUCAUUUCAUUUAUCGGUGUUCCU
Molecule: small RNA, 223 nt
Filed under: Staphylococcus aureus
Lineage: Bacteria; Bacillati; Bacillota; Bacilli; Caryophanales; Staphylococcaceae
Description: Transcript
Source: RNAcentral